RNAcentral lists this transfer RNA (73 nucleotides) under Danio rerio (zebrafish). RNAcentral's name for it is "tRNA-Lys (TTT) (tRNA-Lys-TTT-94-1)". It matches the Rfam family "tRNA". From Rfam's summary of the family: Transfer RNA (tRNA) molecules are approximately 80 nucleotides in length. Their secondary structure includes four short double-helical elements and three loops (D, anti-codon, and T loops). Lineage: Eukaryota; Metazoa; Chordata; Actinopteri; Cypriniformes; Danionidae. RNAcentral also lists the same sequence under 1 other name. The record is from Rfam by way of RNAcentral.
GCCCGGAUAGCUCAGUUGGUAGAGCAUCAGGCUUUUAAUCUGAGGGUCCAGGGUUCAAGUCCCUGUUCGGGCG